Molecule: microRNA, 22 nt
Filed under: Caenorhabditis remanei
Lineage: Eukaryota; Metazoa; Nematoda; Chromadorea; Rhabditida; Rhabditidae
Description: crm-miR-248
Gene: crm-miR-248
Source: miRBase by way of RNAcentral
GUACACGUGCACGGAUACGCUC